This 253-nucleotide ribosomal RNA is filed under the name uncultured bacterium. Its description in RNAcentral is "partial 16S ribosomal RNA". It matches the Rfam family "Bacterial small subunit ribosomal RNA", at positions 524 to 777 of the family's 1533-position model. The record is from RNAcentral.
UACGUAGGCAGCGAGCGUUGUUCGGAGUUACUGGGCGUAAAGCGUGCGUAGCGGUGCCAUAAGUCUGUUGUGAAAUCUCCCGGCUUAACUGGGAGGGUGCGGUGGAAACUGUGGUGCUGGAGUGUGGGAGAGGUAGGCGGAAUUCCUGGUGUAGCGGUGGAAUGCGUAGAGAUCCGGAAGAACACCGGUGGCGAAGGCGGCCUGCUGGGCAGUGGCUGACGCUGAGGCGCGACAGCGUGGGGAGCAAACAGGG